Molecule: ribosomal RNA, 469 nt
Filed under: uncultured soil bacterium
Lineage: Bacteria
Description: partial 16S ribosomal RNA
Source: RNAcentral
CUUGUUACGACUUCACCCCAAUCAUGGAUCAUACCUUGGGCCGCUGCCUCCCUUGCGGGUCAGCCUGCAGACUUCUAGUACAAUCCACUUUCGUGAUGUGACGGGCGGUGUGUACAAGGCCCGGGAACGUAUUCACGGCAGCGUGCUGAUCUGCCAUUACUAGCGAUUCCAGCUUCAUGCAGGCGAGUUGCAGCCUGCAAUCCGAACUGAGAACGGUUUUUUGCGAUUGGCUCCCCCUCGCGGGUUCGCUGCGCUUUGUACCGUCCAUUGUAGCACGUGUGUAGCCCUGGACAUAAAGGCCAUGAGGACUUGACGUCAUCCCCACCUUCCUCCAACUUAUCGCUGGCGGUCUCCUGCGAGUUCCCAACUGAAUGAUGGCAACACAGGACAAGGGUUGCGCUCGUUGCGGGACUUAACCCAACAUCUCACGACACGAGCUGACGACAGCCAUGCAGCACCUCGAAUAGAC